CCUACGGGGUGCUGCAGUGGGGGAUAUUGGACAAUGGGUGGAACCCUGAUCCAGCGACGCCGCGUGAGUGAAGAAGUAUCUCGGUAUGUAAAGCUCUAUCAGCAGGGAAGAAGAAAUGACGGUACCUGAGUAAGAAGCCCCGGCUAACUACGUGCCAGCAGCCGCGGUAAUACGUAGGGGGCAAGCGUUAUCCGGAAUUACUGGGGGUAAAGGGAGCGUAGACGGUGAUGUAAGUCUGGAGUGAAAGGCGGGGGCCCAACCCCCGGACUGCUCUGGAAACUAUGUGACUGGAGUGCAGGAGAGGUGAGCGGAAUUCCUAGUGUAGCGGUGAAAUGCGUAGAUAUUAGGAGGAACACCAGUGGCGAAGGCGGCCUGCUGGACUGCAACUGACGUUGAGGCCCGAAAGCGUGGGGAGCAAACAGGAUUAGAUACCCCUGUAGUC
This 442-nucleotide ribosomal RNA is filed under the name uncultured bacterium. RNAcentral's name for it is "partial 16S ribosomal RNA". It matches the Rfam family "Bacterial small subunit ribosomal RNA", at positions 338 to 795 of the family's 1533-position model. The record is from RNAcentral.